RNAcentral lists this long non-coding RNA (465 nucleotides) under Gallus gallus (chicken). Lineage: Eukaryota; Metazoa; Chordata; Aves; Galliformes; Phasianidae. The record is from RNAcentral.
CCAGCUGGAAAAGGAAGUUUCAAAAUGCUUCUACAUGCAUUAAGACAAAUCUGAAUCUUUCAGCUUUUGUGUUCUGAGUCUUCAGAAGUGGUGAUUUUUUGCUUAGGUUUGGUAGCCUCAUCCAUCAGCUCCUUCAGCUGCCCAAUCUGCUCAUCACGGAAGUCACUGAGCUUCUCUUCUGUGAGUUGGAUCCCAAAUACAGCCUUUUUUUUCAAGCUCUGUUUGUCCUCAUUAAUUUGUUGCCAUAUCAGCGCUGCAUAGUUCUCCCAUUCCCGCAGGAAGCGCUGUGCCUCGGCGGGCCCCGCGGCCUUGUGCUUCCUGAACUCCUCCUUGACGUAGCGGUCGCCCAGCUCCCGCAGGGCGGGUGGCAGCGCCCGGUGCAGCAGCAGGAUCCGCCGGUAGAGGCCCCGUGCACCACCCGCCUGCGUCCCCAGCCCGCCCGGCAUGGCGGCGGCGCAGAAGCCG